Molecule: ribosomal RNA, 489 nt
Filed under: uncultured bacterium
Lineage: Bacteria
Description: bacterial SSU rRNA
Rfam family: Bacterial small subunit ribosomal RNA
Source: RNAcentral
AGAGUUUGAUCCUGGCUCAGGAUGAACGCUGGCGGCGUGCUUCAUACAUGCAAGUCGAACGAGAAUUGGAGCUGCUCAAAGGAAAGUGGCGGACGGGUGAGUAAUACAUAGGGAAUCUGCCCUUAGCUGGGGGACAACAGUUGGAAACGACUGCUAAUACCGCAUAUGAGCUAACCUGAAAUGGUUAUCUUGAAAACUCCGGUGGCUAAGGAUGAGCCUGUGCCUGAUUAGCUUGUUGGCGGGGUAAUGGCCCACCAAGGCGACGAUCAGUAGCUGGUUUGAGAGGAUGAUCAGCCACAAUGGGACUGAGACACGGCCCAUACUCCUACGGGAGGCAGCAGUAGGGAAUUUUGCGCAAUGGGCGAAAGCCUGACGCAAGCAACGCCGCGUGUGUGAUGAAGCCCCUAGGGGUGUAAAACACUGUCAGUAGGGACGAAUUUUGACGGUACCUACAGAGGAAGCACCGGCUAACUCCGUGCCAGCAGCAGC